GUCGAACGGUAACAGGUCUUUCGGGAUGCUGACGAGUGGCGGACGGGUGAGGAAUACAUCGGAAUCUGCUCAGUCGUGGGGGAUAACGCAUGGAAACGUGCGCUAAUACCGCAUACGACCUUCGGGUGAAAGCAGGGGAAUCUCUCGGGAUCCUUGCGCGAUUGAAUGAGCCGAUGUCGGAUUAGCUAGUUGGUAGGGUAAAAGCCUACCAAGGCCACGAUCCGUAGCUGGCCUGAGAGGAUGAUCAGCCACACUGGGACUGAGACACGGCCCAGACUCCUGCGGGAGGCAGCAGUGGGGAAUAUUGGACAAUGGGGGCAACCCUGAUCCAGCCAUACCGCGUGGGUGAAGAAGGCCUUCUGGGUUGUAAAGCCCUUUUGUUGGGGAAGAAAAACAACGGGUUAAUACCCCGUUGGUAUGACGGUACCCAAAGAAUAAGCACCGGCUAACUUCGUGCCAGCAGCCGCGGUAAUACGAAGGGUGCAAGCGUUACUCGGAAUUACUGGGCGUAAAGGGUGCGUAGGUGGUUGCGCCAGUCUGUCGUGAAAGCCCUGGGCUUAACCUGGGAAUGGCGAUGGAAACUGUGCAACUAGAGUGUGACAGAGGGUGGUGGAAUUCCUGGUGUAGCAGUGAAAUGCGUAGAGAUCAGGAGGAACAUUCGUGGCGAAGGCGGCCACCUGGGUCAACACUGACACUGAGGCACGAAAGCGUGGGGAGCAAACAGGAUUAGAUACCCUGGUAGUCCACGCCCUAAACGAUGCGAACUGGAUGUUGGGUCCAACUUGGGAUUCAGUAUCGAAGCUAACGCGUUAAGUUCGCCGCCU
RNAcentral lists this ribosomal RNA (824 nucleotides) under uncultured Lysobacterales bacterium. RNAcentral describes it as "bacterial SSU rRNA". It matches the Rfam family "Bacterial small subunit ribosomal RNA", at positions 61 to 874 of the family's 1533-position model. The record is from RNAcentral. Lineage: Bacteria; Pseudomonadati; Pseudomonadota; Gammaproteobacteria; Lysobacterales.